RNAcentral lists this ribosomal RNA (740 nucleotides) under uncultured eukaryote. RNAcentral's name for it is "bacterial SSU rRNA". It matches the Rfam family "Bacterial small subunit ribosomal RNA", at positions 545 to 1269 of the family's 1533-position model. The record is from RNAcentral.
CCGGAAUCAUUGGGUGUAAAGCGCCUGUAGGUUGUUUGAUAAGUCUGUUGUUAAAGCCUAGGGCUUAACCCUAGAAAAGCGAUGGAAACUACCAGACUAGAGUAUGGAAGGGGUAGAGGGAAUUUCUAGUGUAGCGGUGAAAUGCGUAGAUACUAGAAAGAACACCAGAAGCGAAAGCGCUCUACUGGGCCAGUACUGACACUCAGAGGCGAAAGCUAGGGUAGCAAAAGGGAUUAGAUACCCCUGUAGUCCUAGCCGUAAACGAUGGAUACUAGAUGUUGUGCGUUACUUGCAACAGAUGUUGCAGAUUAACAUGCAGUGACGAAGCUAACGCGUUAAGUAUCCCACCUGGGGAGUACGCUCGCAAGGGUGAAACUCAAAGGAAUCGACGGGGGCCUGCACAAGCGGUGGAGCAUGUGGUUUAAUUCGAUGCAACGCGAAGAACCUUACCAGGAUUUGACAUACUACAAAUCUUUUUGAGAAAAAAGAGCGCCUUCGGGAAUGUAGAUACAGGUGGUGCAUGGCUGUCGUCAGCUCGUGUCGUGAGAUGUUGGGUUAAGUCCCGCAACGAGCGCAACCCUUAUUUUUAGUUACUAACUUGUUAGGUUCUCUAGAAAGACUGCCGGUGACAAACCGGAGGAAGGUGAGGAUGACGUCAAGUCAGCAUGCCCCUUAUAUCCUGGGCUACACACGUGCUACAAUGGUAAAGACAAUGAGUCGCAAGCUCGCGAGAGUCUGCU